UUUCCAGAGAUGGAUUGGUGCCUUCGGGAACUCUGAGACAGGUGCUGCAUGGCUGUCGUCAGCUCGUGUUGUGUAAAUGUUGGGUUAAGUCCCGCAACGAGCGCAACCCUUAUCCUUUGUUGCCAGCGGUCCGGCCGGGAACUCAAAGGAGACUGCCAGUGAUAAACUGGAGGAAGGUGGGGAUGACGUCAAGUCAUCAUGGCCCUUACGAGUAGGGCUACACACGUGCUACAAUGGCGCAUACAAAGAGAAGCGACCUCGCGAGAGCAAGCGGACCUCAUAAAGUGCGUCGUAGUCCGGAUUGGAGUCUGCAACUCGACUCCAUGAAGUCGGAAUCGCUAGUAAUCGUGGAUCAGAAUGCCACGGUGAAUACGUUCCCGGGCCUUGUACACACCGCCCGUCACACCAUGGGAGUGGGUUGCAAAAGAAGUAGGUAGCUUAACCUUCGGGAGGGCGCUUACCACUUUGUGAUUCAUGACUGGGGUGAAGUCGUAACAAGGUAAGCGUAGUGCU
RNAcentral lists this ribosomal RNA (513 nucleotides) under uncultured bacterium. Its description in RNAcentral is "bacterial SSU rRNA". It matches the Rfam family "Bacterial small subunit ribosomal RNA", at positions 997 to 1509 of the family's 1533-position model. The record is from RNAcentral.